This 497-nucleotide ribosomal RNA is filed under the name uncultured bacterium. RNAcentral's name for it is "partial 16S ribosomal RNA". It matches the Rfam family "Bacterial small subunit ribosomal RNA", at positions 28 to 507 of the family's 1533-position model. The record is from RNAcentral.
GAUGAACGCUGGCGGCGUGCCUAAUACAUGCAAGUCGAGCGAACGGACGAGAAGCUUGCUUCUCUGAUGUUAGAGGCGGACGGGUGAGUAACACGUGGGUAACCUACCUAUAAGACUGUGCUAACUUCGGGAAACCGGAGCUCAUACCGGCUAAUAAUUUGAACCGCAUGGUUCAAAAGUGAAAGACGGUCUUGCUGUCACUUAUAGAUGGAUCCGUGUUGCAUUAGCUAGUUGGUAAGGUAACGGCUUACCAAGGCAACGAUGCGUAGCUGGUCUGAGAGGAUGAACAGCCACACUGGAACUGAGACACGGUCCAGACUCCUACGGGAGGCAGCAGUGGGGAAUUUUGGGCAAAGGGCGCAAGCCUGAUGGAGCAACGCCGCGUGAAGGAUGAAGGUCUUCGGAUUGUAAACUGCUUUUGUUAGGAAAGAACAUGCUCUGAUUAAUAUCCGCAGAUCAUGACGGUACCGAAAGAGUAAGCCACGGCUAACUACGUG